UAGGGAAUCUUCGGCAAUGGGGGCAACCCUGACCGAGCAACGCCGCGUGAGUGAAGAAGGUUUUCGGAUCGUAAAGCUCUGUUGUAAGUCAAGAACGGGUGUGAGAGUGGAAAGUUCACACUGUGACGGUAGCUUACCAGAAAGGGACGGCUAACUACGUGCCAGCAGCCGCGGUAAUACGUAGGUCCCCGAGCGUUGUCCGGAUUUAUUGGGGC
RNAcentral lists this ribosomal RNA (215 nucleotides) under uncultured bacterium. RNAcentral describes it as "partial 16S ribosomal RNA". It matches the Rfam family "Bacterial small subunit ribosomal RNA", at positions 355 to 560 of the family's 1533-position model. The record is from RNAcentral.